This 495-nucleotide ribosomal RNA is filed under the name uncultured bacterium. RNAcentral's name for it is "partial 16S ribosomal RNA". It matches the Rfam family "Bacterial small subunit ribosomal RNA", at positions 28 to 507 of the family's 1533-position model. The record is from RNAcentral.
GACGAACGCUGGCGGCGUGCCUAAUACAUGCAAGUAGAACGCUGCAGGAGGAUCUUGCUUCUCUGGGUGGGUUGCGGACGGGUGAGUAACGCGUAGGUAAGCUGUCUGGUAGCGGGGGGGAACUAUUGGAAGCGAUAGCUCAUCCCGCAUAAUAGUAGAUGUCGCAUGACAUUUGCUUAAAAGGUGCAAUUGCAUCACUACCAGAUGGACCUGCGUUGUAUUAGCUAGAUGGGGUGGUAACGGCUCACCAAGGCAACGAUGCAUAGCCGACCUGAGAGGGUGAUCGGCCACACUGGGACUGAGACACGGCCCAGCAUACUGCGGGAGGCAGCAGUAGGGAAUCUUCGGCAAUGGACGGAAGUCUGAACGAGCAACGACGCGCGAGUGAAGGAGGUUUUAGGAUCGUAAAGCUCUGUUGUACGAGAAGAACGAGUGGGAGAGUGGAAAGUUCACACUGUGACGGUAUCUUACCAGAAAGGGACGGCUAACUCCGUG